GGGUUGUGAGGUUAAGCGACUAAGCGUACACGGUGGAUGCCCUGGCAGUCAGAGGCGAUGAAGGACGUGCUAAUCUGCGAAAAGCGUCGGUAAGGUGAUAUGAACCGUUAUAACCGGCGAUGUCCGAAUGGGGAAACCCAGUGCAAUUCGUUGCACUAUCGUUAACUGAAUACAUAGGUUAACGAGGCGAACCGGGGGAACUGAAACAUCUAAGUACCCCGAGGAAAAGAAAUCAACCGAGAUUCCCCCAGUAGCGGCGAGCGAACGGGGAGCAGCCCAGAGUCUGAAUCAGCUUGUGUGUUAGUGGAACGGUCUGGAAAGUCCGACGGUACAGGGUGAUAGUCCCGUACACCAAAAUGCACAGGCUGUGAACUCGAAGAGUAGGGCGGGACACGUGGUAUCCUGUCUGAAUAUGGGGGGACCAUCCUCCAAGGCUAAAUACUCCUGACUGACCGAUAGUGAACCAGUACCGUGAGGGAAAGGCGAAAAGAACCCCGGCGAGGGGAGUGAAAAAGAACCUGAAACCGUGUACGUACAAGCAGUGGGAGCACCUUCGGGUGUGACUGCGUACCUUUUGUAUAAUGGGUCAGCGACUUAUAUUCUGUAGCAAGGUUAACCGUAUAGGGGAGCCGCAGGGAAACCGAGUCUUAACUGGGCGUUAAGUUGCAGGGUAUAGACCCGAAACCCGGUGAUCUAGCCAUGGGCAGGUUGAAGGUUGGGUAACACUAACUGGAGGACCGAACCGACUAAUGUUGAAAAAUUAGCGGAUGACUUGUGGCUGGGGGUGAAAGGCCAAUCAAACCGGGAGAUAGCUGGUUCUCCCCGAAAGCUAUUUAGGUAGCGCCUCGUGAACUCAUCUUCGGGGGUAGAGCACUGUUUCGGCUAGGGGGUCAUCCCGACUUACCAACCCGAUGCAAACUACGAAUACCGAAGAAUGUUAUCACGGGAGACACACGGCGGGUGCUAACGUCCGUCGUGAAGAGGGAAACAACCCAGACCGCCAGCUAAGGUCCCAAAGUCAUGGUUAAGUGGGAAACGAUGUGGGAAGGCACAGACAGCCAGGAUGUUGGCUUAGAAGCAGCCAUCAUUUAAAGAAAGCGUAAUAGCUCACUGGUCGAGUCGGCCUGCGCGGAAGAUGUAACGGGGCUAAACCAUGCACCGAAGCUGCGGCAGCGACACUAUGUGUUGUUGGGUAGGGGAGCGUUCUGUAAGCCUGCGAAGGUGACCUGUGAGGGUUGCUGGAGGUAUCAGAAGUGCGAAUGCUGACAUAAGUAACGAUAAAGCGGGUGAAAAGCCCGCUCGCCGGAAGACCAAGGGUUCCUGUCCAACGUUAAUCGGGGCAGGGUGAGUCGACCCCUAAGGCGAGGCCGAAAGGCGUAGUCGAUGGGAAACAGGUUAAUAUUCCUGUACUUGGUGUUACUGCGAAGGGGGGACGGAGAAGGCUAUGUUAGCCGGGCGACGGUUGUCCCGGUUUAAGCAUGUAGGCUGAUUGUCCAGGCAAAUCCGGAUAAUCAAGGCUGAGGUGUGAUGACGAGGCACUACGGUGCUGAAGUAACAAAUGCCCUGCUUCCAGGAAAAGCCUCUAAGCAUCAGGUAACAUUAAAUCGUACCCCAAACCGACACAGGUGGUCAGGUAGAGAAUACCAAGGCGCUUGAGAGAACUCGGGUGAAGGAACUAGGCAAAAUGGUGCCGUAACUUCGGGAGAAGGCACGCUGGUGUGUAGGUGAAGUCCCUGCGGAUGGAGCUGAGACCAGUCGAAGAUACCAGCUGGCUGCAACUGUUUAUUAAAAACACAGCACUGUGCAAACACGAAAGUGGACGUAUACGGUGUGACGCCUGCCCGGUGCCGGAAGGUUAAUUGAUGGGGUUAUCCGUAAGGAGAAGCUCUUGAUCGAAGCCCCGGUAAACGGCGGCCGUAACUAUAACGGUCCUAAGGUAGCGAAAUUCCUUGUCGGGUAAGUUCCGACCUGCACGAAUGGCGUAAUGAUGGCCAGGCUGUCUCCACCCGAGACUCAGUGAAAUUGAACUCGCUGUGAAGAUGCAGUGUACCCGCGGCAAGACGGAAAGACCCCGUGAACCUUUACUAUAGCUUGACACUGAACAUUGAGCCUUGAUGUGUAGGAUAGGUGGGAGGCUUUGAAGCGUGGACGCCAGUCUGCGUGGAGCCAACCUUGAAAUACCACCCUUUAAUGUUUGAUGUUCUAACGUUGGCCCCUGACCGGGGUUGCGGACAGUGUCUGGUGGGUAGUUUGACUGGGGCGGUCUCCUCCCAAAGCGUAACGGAGGAGCACGAAGGUUAGCUAAUCCUGGUCGGACAUCAGGAGGUUAGUGCAAUGGCAUAAGCUAGCUUGACUGCGAGCGUGACGGCGCGAGCAGGUGCGAAAGCAGGUCAUAGUGAUCCGGUGGUUCUGAAUGGAAGGGCCAUCGCUCAACGGAUAAAAGGUACUCCGGGGAUAACAGGCUGAUACCGCCCAAGAGUUCAUAUCGACGGCGGUGUUUGGCACCUCGAUGUCGGCUCAUCACAUCCUGGGGCUGAAGUAGGUCCCAAGGGUAUGGCUGUUCGCCAUUUAAAGUGGUACGCGAGCUGGGUUUAGAACGUCGUGAGACAGUUCGGUCCCUAUCUGCCGUGGGCGCUGGAGAAUUGAGGGGGGCUGCUCCUAGUACGAGAGGACCGGAGUGGACGCAUCACUGGUGUUCGGGUUGUCAUGCCAAUGGCACUGCCCGGUAGCUAAAUGCGGAAGAGAUAAGUGCUGAAAGCAUCUAAGCACGAAACUUGCCCCGAGAUGAGUUCUCCCUGAGACUUUAAGUCUCCUGAAGGAACGUUAAAGACGAUGACGUUGAUAGGCCGGGUGUGUAAGCGCAGCGAUGCGUUGAGCUAACCGGUACUAAUGAACCGUGAGGCUUAACCUUACAACGCCGAAG
RNAcentral lists this ribosomal RNA (2923 nucleotides) under Klebsiella pneumoniae. RNAcentral describes it as "bacterial LSU rRNA". It matches the Rfam family "Bacterial large subunit ribosomal RNA". The record is from RNAcentral. RNAcentral also lists the same sequence under 1 other name. Lineage: Bacteria; Pseudomonadati; Pseudomonadota; Gammaproteobacteria; Enterobacterales; Enterobacteriaceae.